CUCAAGCUCUAGCCAGACAAAGUCCAAGCAUGGAGAUGGAGAGAUGGGAAUGAACUUCCACCAGCAGCGGAAGAGCUUGGUGUCUGAUAGCUUACAGAAAAGGGAGGAUGUGCUUUCUUUAAGAAUGUGACCCCUGGGAAUAUGGCCACACUCCAGGGCAGGUCCCACUCCCAAGAGCAGUUGGGCAGCACAAACAGAACUUGGUGAGAGGGAGAAGAAAAUUGAGAGCUGGAGGAGUGGGAUUUAGCCAAAGACAGGAGAGCAUUAAUCCCAGCAGCCCCCAUGCUCAAAGGACAAACUGGAAACCCCAGCAUAUGUGACAGACUAAGGCCUUCUCGGGGUACCUGUCAGCCGGAAGAUGAAGCAGGAGAAGCAGCAGCUGGAGAGAUGCCAGCUGUCCAUCACUUGAAGCACCUGCCAUCCUGACUAUGUCAAGUGCAGCCUGGCAGCCAGCAUUGCCCACCACUGCUAGAAAAGACCCAGAAGUGGAACCUUAUCCCCAUCCCGAAUCCGGGCUGCAGACCGCAUCCAUUCACUGGGGUGUUGGAACGAACCAGUGAGAAAUAGCUUCAAAAUGGAGUCUGAAUAAAUGUUGAAUGGAUUCCAAAUCCGAA
This is a long non-coding RNA of Peromyscus eremicus (cactus mouse), 614 nucleotides long. RefSeq lists it as uncharacterized. The record is from RefSeq and is a predicted model, not a curated record. The transcript is spliced from 2 exons. NCBI's taxonomy places the organism in Eukaryota, Metazoa, Chordata, Mammalia, Rodentia, Cricetidae.